UACGGAGGGGGCAAGCGUUAUUCGGAAUUACUGGGCGUAAAGGGCACGCAGGCGGCUUAGUAGGUCAAAGGUGAAAUCCCUCGGCUCAACCGAGGAACUGCCUUUGAAACCACUUGGCUAGAGGCUGGGAGAGGAUAGUGGAAUUCCUGGUGUAGCGGUGAAAUGCGUAGAUAUCAGGAGGAACACCGGUGGCGAAGGCGGCUAUCUGGACCAGUUCUGACGCUGAGGUGCGAAAGCGUGGGUAGCAAAC
RNAcentral lists this ribosomal RNA (250 nucleotides) under uncultured bacterium. RNAcentral's name for it is "partial 16S ribosomal RNA". It matches the Rfam family "Bacterial small subunit ribosomal RNA", at positions 524 to 773 of the family's 1533-position model. The record is from RNAcentral.